This 232-nucleotide ribosomal RNA is filed under the name uncultured bacterium. Its description in RNAcentral is "partial 16S ribosomal RNA". It matches the Rfam family "Bacterial small subunit ribosomal RNA", at positions 99 to 334 of the family's 1533-position model. The record is from RNAcentral.
CGGACGGGUGAGUAAUGUCUGGGAAACUGCCCGAUGGAGGGGGAUAGCUACUGGAAACGGUAGCUAAUACCGCAUAACGUCGCAAGACCAAAGAGGGGGACCUUCGGGCCUCUUGCCAUCGGAUGUGCCCAGAUGGGAUUAGCUAGUAGGUGGGGUAACGGCUCACCUAGGCGACGAUCCCUAGCUGGUCUGAGAGGAUGACCAGCCACACUGGAACUGAGACACGGUCCAG